UUAAGCGAUCUGAUGGCUUACCGGAUGUGUUACCAGAACCAGUAGCAUACUUGUGCCAAAAUGAAGUUGUUUUGCUAACGAACUAAAAUACAUGCUGGUAUUUAUGGUUACAGAUCAACGCAGAGACCGAGGUUUGAUCUGAGCACGUUGAGAAGCAAUGCUUUGUUAAGGUCACCCGUGGUAUGACAACGCUAAUAAAGGAUGCUGUGCCUGCCAACUUUGUUCGCCUGGACUUCAGAGAAGCCAAAGAGGAGAAUCAUCAUUCGCAUACCGUGUAUGGAUUCCAUGGAGUAUUCCAUCGAGUAUUUCUUCUGUUUCAAUCGUCUUGGUGAAGUUUUUGAGCUGGAUCUGGAUUCUGCUGAGGAUUCGUCGACUACUAGAUGGCGAGCCACCCACUCAUUCGAAUGUGAUCCUGUUCUACAUUGCGCAUGGCAUAUUUGGUAGGAUUGUGGCCUGCUCGUGUCACAUCACUGACUAUGACUGACUUCAACGCCUUGAACUGAACUGCUUGAAAUGAGCUAUAUUUCUUUUUGAACAACUUAAAGGAACUCUCUACAUCGUUUCUUUUGAGGAUUUAAAGGACUAUUUCCAAUUUUUGAAGGACAAUUCAAAUUUUUUUUUUUUUUAAUGUUCAAACCUUUUUGGGGGACGGGGGGGUAAUUGUAAAUAUUUAAACUUUUCAAUCUCUUACUUGUGAUGUUUUUAUUUCAUUUUGUUAAUGCCCAUUUUAUUAUUUUUCCCUAUAUCCUAUGUUUGUAUUUAAGAAUGUCAUUCUUCAUUAGGGUUGCAUACAAUAUUUUCUAUGGAUACAUGAUUAUUUAUAAUGAUAAAUAAAUAAUUAUUAUUAUUAUUAUUUAUGCAAGAUGGACAUUUGACACGAACAUUAUGGUUUUCCCCGUUCAUUUUGCUUUCGAUAUCCUUUCCUUUUUGUUUUGGACUGUUUCAAUUCACGGGACGUCACUUUAAUCCUCCAAAGGACAUUUUUGGAGUGAAGCGGCCAACUCUCUUGAAUUACUGCUCUUGUCGGCUUGCGCUCGCCUCUGUGGAUCUAAUAAGGACAUAAAAGGACAGAAACUUAA
This is a long non-coding RNA of Engraulis encrasicolus (European anchovy), 1079 nucleotides long. RefSeq lists it as uncharacterized. The transcript has 3 exons. Lineage: Eukaryota; Metazoa; Chordata; Actinopteri; Clupeiformes; Engraulidae. The record is from RefSeq and is a predicted model, not a curated record.